CCUACGGGAGACAGCAGUGGGGAAUAUUGCGCAUUGGGCGAAAGCCUGACGCAGCGACGCCGCGUGAGGGAUGAAGGUCUUCGGAUCGUAAACCUCUGUCAGCAGGGAAGAACGGUCACUGUGCUAAUCAGCAGUGAAUUGACGGUACCUGCAAAGGAAGCACCGGCUAACUCCGUGCCAGCAGCCGCGGUAAUACGGAGGGUGCGAGCGUUAAUCGGAAUUACUGGGCGUAAAGCGCUCGUAGGCGGUAUGUCAAGUCAAGGGUGAAAUCCCCGCGCUCAACGUGGGAACUGCCUUUGAAACUGGCAAACUGGAGUGUGUGAGAGGAUAGUGGAAUUCCAGGUGUAGGAGUGAAAGCCGUAGAUAUCUGGAGGAACAUCAGUGGCGAAGGCGACUAUCUGGCACAUAACUGACGCUGAGGAGCGAAAGCGUGGGUAGCAAACAGGAUUAGAUACCCUGGUAGUC
RNAcentral lists this ribosomal RNA (465 nucleotides) under uncultured bacterium. RNAcentral describes it as "partial 16S ribosomal RNA". It matches the Rfam family "Bacterial small subunit ribosomal RNA", at positions 338 to 795 of the family's 1533-position model. The record is from RNAcentral.